CCUUCUCGAGUCCUGUGGCUCAUGCCCCGGGUCCUGCAGGUGGAGCUGGUGGGAGUGAGCUGUGGAUGCAGAGAGCCAUUCAGAUGCUUUUUGUUGCCAACAUUUCCUGCAGCUGUCCAUGUCCAGCACACUCCUCUACCUUGAGUCCAGAAAGGGGAUUGCAACCCAGCAGGAGUUUGUGGUGAAUUGCUUAACUCAUUUGCUGACACUUAAACAAAGAAGGAAACCUGGCUGAAAUUACGGGUAUAGGAUAUAACUGUUAAAGACAAAUCUGCUGUUAGCAGACUAACGGUUUGUAAGUAAGGCUGGAUUGUGGGGUGGAACCAACAGGUGAGAAGUGGGGUAAAGAAUUACCCUUCCCAUUUUUCAGGUGAGGAACUGAGGAGUGGAGUGACUUGGGCAGAUCCUGGGGAAUUUUUGGGAACUGGUUACCAGUCUGAGAGAAAUAAGGGUGUUGGUCUGGAAAAAAAAAAAGAGAAGUGACCUUGUACCAAAA
Long non-coding RNA from Lepidothrix coronata (blue-crowned manakin), 496 nucleotides. RefSeq lists it as uncharacterized. NCBI's taxonomy places the organism in Eukaryota, Metazoa, Chordata, Aves, Passeriformes, Pipridae. The transcript has 2 exons. The record is from RefSeq and is a predicted model, not a curated record.